RNAcentral lists this small RNA (135 nucleotides) under Salmonella enterica. RNAcentral's name for it is "RtT sRNA". It matches the Rfam family "RtT RNA". From Rfam's summary of the family: This family represents a bacterial cis-regulatory element known as RtT RNA. The exact function of RtT is unknown although it is thought that it may be involved in changing the cellular response in relation to amino acid starvation. Lineage: Bacteria; Pseudomonadati; Pseudomonadota; Gammaproteobacteria; Enterobacterales; Enterobacteriaceae. RNAcentral also lists the same sequence under 3 other names. The record is from RNAcentral.
UAUCUCUCCGUACGGGGAGGAAGGAUGAGAAGCUUCGACUAAGGUUCGAUUCGAGCGAAAGCGAGAAAGCGUUGCCAACGGCAACGACCCGAAGGGCGAAGCGCGCAGCGCUGAGUAAUCCUUCCCCCGUCAUCC